AGAGUUUGAUCAUGGCUCAGAACGAACGCUGGCGGCGUGCCUAACACAUGCAAGUCGAGCGCGAAAAGGGCAACCUGAGUAGAGCGGCGCACGGGUGCGUAACACGUGGGUAAUCUGCCUUAGAGUCGAGGAUAACUUUCCGAAAGGUUAGCUAAUACUCGGUAAGCUUACGGUGUCUUCGGACGCUGUGAGAAAAGUAGGCCUCUAUUUAUAAGCUUACGCUCUGAGAUGAGCCCGCGGCCCAUCAGCUAGUUGGCGGGGUAACGGCCCACCAAGGCAACGACGGGUAGCUGGUCUGAGAGGACGAUCAGCCACACUGGAACUGAGACACGGUCCAGACUCCUACGGGAGGCAGCAGUGGGGAAUUUUCCACAAUGGGCGAAAGCCUGAUGGAGCAACGCCGCGUGUGUGAUGAAGGUUUUCGGAUCGUAAAGCACUUUCGACCGGGACGAAAAACCUCUGGCUAACAUCCAGGGGCCUGACGGUACCGGGAGAAGAAGCACCGGCUAACUCUGUGCCAGCAGCCGCGGUAAUACAGAGGGUGCAAGCGUUGUUCGGAAUUAUUGGGCGUAAAGCGCGUGUAGGCGGCUUGGCAAGUCAGAUGUGAAAGCCCUCGGCUUAACCGAGGAAGUGCGUCUGAAACUGCUGAGCUUGAGUGUCGGAGAGGAUGGCAGAAUUCCGCAAGUGGAGGUGAAAUUCGUAGAUAUGCGGUGGAACACUGGUGGCGAAGGCGGGCCAUCUGGACGACUACUGACGCUGAGACGCGGAAGCGUGGGGAGCAAACAGGAUUAGAUACUCUGAUAGUCCACGCUGUAAACGAUGAGAACUAGGUGUCGUGAGUGUUGACUCUCGCGGUGCUGCAGCUACGCAUUAAGUUCUUCGACUGGGAAGUACGGCCGCAAGGCUAAAACUCAAAGGAAUG
Molecule: ribosomal RNA, 922 nt
Filed under: uncultured bacterium
Lineage: Bacteria
Description: bacterial SSU rRNA
Rfam family: Bacterial small subunit ribosomal RNA
Source: RNAcentral